CACGUAGGGUGCAAGCGUUAAUCGGAAUUACUGGGCGUAAAGCGUGCGCAGGCGGUUUUGUAAGCCAGAUGUGAAAGCCCCGGGCUUAACCUGGGAAUGGCAUUUGGGACUGCAAGGCUGGAGUGUGGCAGAGGAGACGUGGAAUUCCUGGUGUAGCAGUGAAAUGCGUAGAUAUCAGGAGGAAUACCGAUGGCGAAGGCAGGUCUCUGGGCUGACACUGACGCUCAUGCACGAAAGCGUGGGGAGCAAACAGG
RNAcentral lists this ribosomal RNA (254 nucleotides) under uncultured bacterium. Its description in RNAcentral is "partial 16S ribosomal RNA". It matches the Rfam family "Bacterial small subunit ribosomal RNA", at positions 524 to 776 of the family's 1533-position model. The record is from RNAcentral.